GUGAGGAAUAUUGGUCAAUGGGCGAGAGCCUGAACCAGCCAAGUCGCGUGAAGGAAGAAGGAUCUAUGGUUCGUAAACUUCUUUUGCAGGGGAAUAAAGUGCGGGACGUGUCCUGUUUUGUAUGUACCCUGAGAAUAAGGAUCGGCUAACUCCGUGCCAGCAGCCGCGGUAAUACGGAGGAUCCGAGCGUUAUCCGGAUUUAUUGGGGUUAAAGGGUGCGUAGGUGGUUUGAUAAGUCAGCGGUGAAAGUUUGCAGCUUAACUGUAAAAAUGCCGUUGAAACUGUCGGACUUGAGUGUAAAUGAGGUAGGCGGAAUGCGUGGUGUAGCGGUGAAAUGCAUAGAUAUCACGCAGAACUCCGAUUGCGAAGGCAGCUUACUAAGCUACAACUGACACUGAAGCACGAAAGCGUGGGGAUCAAACAGGAUUAGAAACCCCGGUAGUCC
RNAcentral lists this ribosomal RNA (445 nucleotides) under uncultured bacterium. RNAcentral describes it as "partial 16S ribosomal RNA". It matches the Rfam family "Bacterial small subunit ribosomal RNA", at positions 354 to 796 of the family's 1533-position model. The record is from RNAcentral.